AGAGUUUGAUCAUGGCUCAGGAUGAACGCUAGCGACAGGCUUAACACAUGCAAGUCGAGGGGCAGCGGGGAGGUAGCAAUACUUCCGCCGGCGACCGGCGCACGGGUGAGUAACACGUAUGGAACCUGCCCGUAGCAGGGGGAUAAACGGAAGAAAUUCCGUCUAAUACCGCGUAAUAACUCCGAGAGGCAUCUCAUGGAGUUUAAAGGGUAACACCGGCUACGGAUGGCCAUGCGGCGCAUUAGCUAGUUGGCGGGGUAACGGCCCACCAAGGCGACGAUGCGUAGGGGUUCUGAGAGGAAGGUCCCCCACACUGGUACUGAGACACGGACCAGACUCCUACGGGAGGCAGCAGUGAGGAAUAUUGGUCAAUGGGCGCGAGCCUGAACCAGCCAAGUCGCGUGAGGGAAGACGGUCCUAUGGAUUGUAAACCUCUUUUGUCGGGGAGCAAAAGACGCCACGUGUGGCGUUCCGAGAGUACCCGAAGAAAAAGCAUCGGCUAACUCCGUGCCAGCAGCCGCGGUAAUACGGAGGAUGCGAGCGUUAUCCGGAUUUAUUGGGUUUAAAGGGUGCGCAGGCGGAAGAUCAAGUCAGCGGUAAAAUUGAGAGGCUCAACCUCUUCGAGCCGUUGAAACUGGUUUUCUUGAGUGAGCGAGAAGUAUGCGGAAUGCGUGGUGUAGCGGUGAAAUGCAUAGAUAUCACGCAGAACUCCGAUUGCGAAGGCAGCAUACCGGCGCUCAACUGACGCUCAUGCACGAAAGUGUGGGUAUCGAACAGGAUUAGAUACCCUGGUAGUCCACACAGUAAACGAUGAAUACUAAUUGUUCGGGGAGAAUGAUCCCUGAGUGAUACAGCGAAAGCGUUAAGUAUUCCACCUGGGGAGUACGCCGGCAACGGUGAAACUCAAAGGAAUUGACGGGGGCCCGCACAAGCGGAGGAACAUGUGGUUUAAUUCGAUGAUACGCGAGGAACCUUACCCGGGCUCAAACGACACAGGAAUACUUUUGAAAGGAAGUAGCUCUACGGAGCCUGUGUCGAGGUGCUGCAUGGUUGUCGUCAGCUCGUGCCGUGAGGUGUCGGCUUAAGUGCCAUAACGAGCGCAACCCCCAUCGCCAGUUACCAGCAAGUCAAGUUGGGGACUCUGGCGAGACUGCCGGCGCAAGCUGUGAGGAAGGCGGGGAUGACGUCAAAUCAGCACGGCCCUUACGUCCGGGGCGACACACGUGUUACAAUGGCAGGUACAGAGAGAAGCAAUGCGGCGACGCAAAGCGGAACUUGAAAGCCUGUCUCAGUUCGGAUUGGAGUCUGCAACUCGACUCCAUGAAGCUGGAUUCGCUAGUAAUCGCGCAUCAGCCAUGGCGCGGUGAAUACGUUCCCGGGCCUUGUACACACCGCCCGUCAAGCCAUGGGAGCCGGGGGUGCCUGAAGGCCGUGACCGCGAGGAGCGGCCUAGGGUAAAACUGGUGACUGGGGCUAAGUCGUAACAAGGUAGCCGUA
RNAcentral lists this ribosomal RNA (1497 nucleotides) under uncultured bacterium. RNAcentral describes it as "16S ribosomal RNA". It matches the Rfam family "Bacterial small subunit ribosomal RNA". The record is from RNAcentral.